GUCUUAAUUCUAGCCUACACACCAUUCUCUUAUUUUUUUCCCCCCCAUAAAACAUUUUUACAUGUUAGUAUAGGCGAUAGAAAACUUUUUAGCGCAAUAGAUAAAGUACUGCAAAGGAAAAAUGAAAUAGAAAUGAAAUAAUCAUAAAAAUAUAAAAAAGCAAAGAAUAAAACUUUUACCUUUUGCAUAAUGGUUUAGCCAGUCUAUAUUAACAAAAAGAAUUAAGUUAUAUACCCCGAAACCAGACGAGCUACCUUAAAACAGCAUACACGAGCAAACCCUUCUCUGUGACAAAAGGGUGGGAAGAUUUUAAGGUAGGGGCAAAAAACCUAACGAGCCUGGAUAUAGCUGGUUACUUAAGAAUGAAUUUAAGUUCAACUAAAAGCACUACUAUCACUAAAAGAUAAACUUAUGCUUUUAUUUUAAUUAAUUGAGGUACAGCCCAAUUAAUAAAGGAGACAACCUAAAUAAAUAAAUAAGGAUUAUAAUAUAUUAAAGAAAUUUAUGCUGUAGGCCUAAAAGCAGCCACCAUUAAUAGCGUCAUAGCUUGAUUUAUGAACACUUAUUAUUUUAAUAAGUAAUCCAAAUUUACCAAAACAACUAAGUAAAUCUAUAACAUAGAUGAAUUACUGCUAAAAUAAGUAACAAGGAAGUAAACCUCUACAUACAUGUGUAAAUCAAAAUGAACAAAUCACCGAUAACUAAUGAUACUAAUAUUUUUAUAACGAGAAGAUAAAAUAUUUUAAAACAUUAACCCAACACAGGAGUAUUAAAGAAAGAUUAUAAGUCUGAAAAGGAACUCGGCAAAUUAGGGCUUCGCCUGUUUACCAAAAACAUUGCCUCUAGCUUAAUUAAUAUAAGAGGUACUGCCUGCCCAGUGACACUUGUUAAACGGCCGCGGUAUUAUAACCGUGCAAAAGGUAGCGUAAUCACUUGUCUCUUAAAUCGAGACCUAGUAUGAAUGGCAAAACGAGGAGCCCAACUGUCUCCUCAAACUAAUCAGUGAAAUUGACCUUUCCGUGCAGAAAGCGGAGAUAUUUAUAUAAGACGGAGAAGACCCUAUGGAGCUUCAAACCAAACAAUAACUUAUAAUAAGUAGUAUAUAUAAAGGUUUUAGGUUGGGGCGACCACGGAGAAUAACACAACCUCCGAGAUGAAAUAACUAGAAGGACACUUCAAAUAAUAAUAUAAUUGACAUAAUUGACCCGAUAUUUGAUCAACGAACUAAGUUACCCUAGGGAUAACAGCGCAAUCCUUUCAUAGAGUUCCUAUCGACGAAUGGGUUUACGACCUCGAUGUUGGAUCAGGCUCCCCAAUGGUGCAGCAGCUAUUUAAGGUUCGUUUGUUCAACGAUUAAAGUCCUACGUGAUCUGAGAUCAGACCGGAGAAAUCCAGGUCAGUUUCUAUCUAUAAAUAAUUUUUUCCAGUACGAAAGGACCGGAAAAACAAGGCCCAUGAAAAACUUAGGCCUUCUCGCCCACCCCUGAAACUAAAUUAAGGGGAACACCGAGAAAAUCAUGGGUCAAUAACGACUU
This 1535-nucleotide ribosomal RNA is filed under the name Karsenia koreana (Korean crevice salamander). RNAcentral describes it as "large subunit ribosomal RNA". It matches the Rfam family "Bacterial large subunit ribosomal RNA", at positions 436 to 2829 of the family's 2925-position model. Lineage: Eukaryota; Metazoa; Chordata; Amphibia; Caudata; Plethodontidae. The record is from RNAcentral.